Molecule: ribosomal RNA, 321 nt
Filed under: Triticum aestivum (bread wheat)
Lineage: Eukaryota; Viridiplantae; Streptophyta; Magnoliopsida; Poales; Poaceae
Description: partial small subunit ribosomal RNA
Source: RNAcentral
AUGUGGUGUCGCUCAGACGCCCGACUGUGGCAUGCUGUUAAUUAUUUACUCUAUAAGCCCUUUAUGUGGUGUCACUCAGACGCCCGACUGUGGCAUGUUGUUAAUUAUUUACUCUAUAAGCCCUUUAUGUGGUGUCGCCCAGACGCCCGACUGUGGCAUGUUGUCAAUUAUUUACUCUAUAAGCCCUUUAUGUGGUGUCGCCCAGACGCCCGACUAAGGCAUGCUCGUUAUUUAUUAUCUUUUCGAGGCGUCGCUUCAGACACCCGAUUGGUGCAUUUUAUUACUACUCUAUUUCUACAUAUUCAUGUUGCAUAUAUAUAA